GACGAACGCUGGCGGCGUGCUUAACACAUGCAAGUCGAACGCUGAAGCUUGGUGCUUGCACUGGGUGGAUGAGUGGCGAACGGGUGAGUAAUACGUGAGUAACCUGCCCUUGACUCUGGGAUAAGCCUGGGAAACUGGGUCUAAUACUGGAUAUGACAUGCCACUGCAUGGUGGUGUGUGGAAAGGGCUUUACUGGUUUUGGAUGGGCUCACGGCCUAUCAGCUUGUUGGUGGGGUAAUGGCCUACCAAGGCGACGACGGGUAGCCGGCCUGAGAGGGUGACCGGCCACACUGGGACUGAGACACGGCCCAGACUCCUACGGGAGGCAGCAGUGGGGAAUAUUGCACAAUGGGCGGAAGCCUGAUGCAGCGACGCCGCGUGAGGGAUGACGGCCUUCGGGUUGUAAACCUCUUUCAGCACGGAAGAAGCGAGAGUGACGGUACGUGCAGAAGAAGCGCCGGCUAACUACGUG
RNAcentral lists this ribosomal RNA (472 nucleotides) under uncultured bacterium. Its description in RNAcentral is "partial 16S ribosomal RNA". It matches the Rfam family "Bacterial small subunit ribosomal RNA", at positions 28 to 507 of the family's 1533-position model. The record is from RNAcentral.